UUUAAUGGAGAGUUUGAUCCUGGCUCAGGACGAACGCUGGCGGCGUGCCUAAUACAUGCAAGUCGAGCGGGGUUAAUUAGAAGCUUGCUUCUAAUUAACCUAGCGGCGGACGGGUGAGUAACACGUAGGCAACCUGCCCACAAGACAGGGAUAACUACCGGAAACGGUAGCUAAUACCCGAUACAUCCUUUUUCUGCAUGGGAGAAGGAGGAAAGGCGGAGCAAUCUGUCACUUGUGGAUGGGCCUGCGGCGCAUUAGCUAGUUGGUGGGGUAAAGGCCUACCAAGGCGACGAUGCGUAGCCGACCUGAGAGGGUGAUCG
This 320-nucleotide ribosomal RNA is filed under the name Paenibacillus polymyxa. RNAcentral describes it as "bacterial SSU rRNA". It matches the Rfam family "Bacterial small subunit ribosomal RNA", at positions 1 to 306 of the family's 1533-position model. Lineage: Bacteria; Bacillati; Bacillota; Bacilli; Caryophanales; Paenibacillaceae. The record is from RNAcentral.